AAUCUUGCGCAAUGGGCGAAAGCCUGACGCAGCCAUGCAGCGUGAAUGAUGAAGGUCUUAGGACUGUAAAAUUCUUUCAUCGUGGACGAUAAUGACGGUACUCGGAGAAGAAGCCCCGGCUAACUUCGUGCCAGCAGCCGCGGGAAUACGAAGGGGGCUAGCGUUGCUCGGAAUUACUGGGCGUAAAGGGCGCGUAGGCGGAUCGUUAAGUCAGGGGUGAAAUCCCGGGGCUCAACCUCGGAACUGACCUUGAUACUGGCGAUCUUGAGUAUGAGAGCGGUAUGUGGAACUCCGAGUGUAGAGGUGAAAUUCGUAGAUAUUCGGAAGAACACCAGUGGCGAAGGCGACAUACUGGCUCAUUACUGACGCUGAGGCGCGAAAGCGUGGGGAGCAAACA
This 397-nucleotide ribosomal RNA is filed under the name uncultured bacterium. RNAcentral describes it as "partial 16S ribosomal RNA". It matches the Rfam family "Bacterial small subunit ribosomal RNA", at positions 360 to 774 of the family's 1533-position model. The record is from RNAcentral.